AUACGAACGGUGCAAGCGUUGUUCGGAUUUACUGGGCGUAAAGAGAGUGUAGGUGGUUUAUUAAGUCGGAUGUGAAAUCCCGGGGCUCAACCUCGGAACUGCAUUCGAUACUGAUAGGCUAGAGUUUGGGAGGGGUAAGCGGAAUUCCGUGUGUAGCAGUGAAAUGCGUAGAUAUACGGAGGAACACCUGAGGCGAAGGCGGCUUACUGGACCAAUACUGACACUGAGACUCGAAAGCGUGGGUAGCAAACAGGAUUAGAUACUCUAGUAGUCC
This 274-nucleotide ribosomal RNA is filed under the name uncultured bacterium. Its description in RNAcentral is "partial 16S ribosomal RNA". It matches the Rfam family "Bacterial small subunit ribosomal RNA", at positions 523 to 796 of the family's 1533-position model. The record is from RNAcentral.